GGCAGGAGACUCGCUUGAGCCCAGGAGUUGGAGGUUGCUGUGAGCUGAGAUGCCAUGGCACUCUACCCAGGGGGACAGCUUGAGGCUCCUGUCUCAAAAAAAAAAAAAUUAUUUAUUUUUUUGGGACAAAGUCUCAAGCUAUCACCCUGGAUAGAGUGCUGUGGCGUCACAACUCACAGCAACCUCAAACUCUUGGGCUUAAGCAAUUCUCCUGCCUCAGCCUCCCAAGUAGCUGGGACUACAGGCGACUGCCACAGCGCCUGGC
Molecule: small RNA, 265 nt
Filed under: Otolemur garnettii (small-eared galago)
Lineage: Eukaryota; Metazoa; Chordata; Mammalia; Primates; Galagidae
Description: Metazoan signal recognition particle RNA (ENSOGAG00000032197.1)
Source: RNAcentral